UAGAAUUCGUCCUCGAAUUCUUAGUUGUCCAAUGGCUCAGCUUCACGACAUGUUCAUCCCCUUGAUGAAAAUUUCUCCUUGGAUCACUUGUCUCGCGGUCUUGAUCACUUGAUGUGCUUCUUUAUCGGUUUGCCCUUGGUUUCCUCCUUUCGGUUUCUCUGGUCUCCACCCAAACUUCUGGUUCUGAACUCACUCCGUCUUGAUACAUCUCAAAGCAUUCCUUUAGUCUUGAAUCCGUCCUUCACUUCUUGAUUUCCCAUGCUUCACUCAUUCUUAACUCAUCUCCAUAUCGCUUCACUCUCAUGCUGAAUUCAUCUUCAUAUUGCUUCACCGUAUCUACUGCUCUCCCAUGAGUCUCCUUCUCAAAGUUGCCACAAAACUCUUCACUUGAUGAAUACUGAAUCGUCUUCUUGCAUUUACUCUGCCAUAACGCGC
This 435-nucleotide long non-coding RNA is filed under the name Brassica rapa (field mustard). RNAcentral's name for it is "long non-coding RNA (BRAP_LNC003636)". The record is from RNAcentral. Lineage: Eukaryota; Viridiplantae; Streptophyta; Magnoliopsida; Brassicales; Brassicaceae.